AUGAGAGGGAGAAGGUUUAGGCGCAGGGUUCAAAAUGGCGAUUUUGACUUUGCAGCAUUGCUUAGCAUGGCUCUCUGCUUUGUUAGAGUGUUCAAAAUGGCGGACCCACUUUGCCGCAGUGUUCCAGUGGCGGGAAGCCACAUUAUGGGUGUCUUUGUUCUAGCGUGCAGCAUGGCGGUGGAAAUAUUCUGUUACAUAGCAAAAGAUGGCGGCUCAAGUACUUGCCGCAAUCGAAAACAUGGCGGGCCUUUGUCUUUGCCGUGUGCAUUUCCUGACAAAUUUUGCCGCAGGGACAAUAUGGCUGACCUUGUCAUGUGGAUAGCAUGGCAGUCUGUCACGUGGACGUCAUGGCAGGGGUGUUUGACCGUUACAUUCUUGGCGGGCUUUGCACCAGGAGGGCCUGCCGCAUUGUUCAAGAUGGCGGGCUUUGCCGCGAAAAAGUGCAGGAGGGAUUGGCAGCGUUGGAUUGCCGCCCGACACAUCCAAUCAGAAAGGGUGGUGGAAUUGGUCACAGACAGUUAGUGGAGGAUGGAAUUAGUCGGAGUUAGCAUAGCACCUCGCUACCGUCUCUAUUCAGCCAGUCAGCACCGGCCACGUUUGUACUACUCCCAGUGGGUGGUACCCAAGGUCUUUCCAAGGACGUUUGGCCUUUCCACCUCCCUCCCCUCUCACUGGCUCCCUCCCCUCCAGCAUUACCACCUGCUGUGCUGAACUUUAGGCUAUAUGGGCUGAACCUCACACCAUUCCUCUGCAUUGGUGGCCUAAGGCUAACUUACUACCCCUUCCCCGCCUCCCCCUCCCCCGCCUCUGCUCUUCUGCACUGUGGCCAGGGGCAGUGCUCCAUGCCUGCCAAGUGUGAACAUGGCGGUGAGUCGUGGCAAGGACCAGAAUGGAUCGCAGAUGAUCGUUGGCCAACAGGUGGCGGAAGAGGAAUCCCUGUCUUCCUCAAGAGGAACACCUACCCCGUGGCUAAUGCUGGGGUCGGAUUUUGAUUUCUAUUUAUUUCUUGGAUGUCAGUCAUAUAUAGUUUGAUUAUGUGGUUUGCUAGUGUUCGAUUUAAGCCUUAAGUGACUACUAUGGUAAUGUAUUUAGGGACUUUGUUAUUUGUAGAAUUCAUUUCAGUUACAUUUAGUGGGUUUUCAUUUUGGGGUUCCUUUGAAAUUCCUUAAAGUUUUCAAUUUCUUUUUUUUACAAAUGCUUACAUUUCUUUAUCUUUAUAUAGUCAAAGUCAAUAAUUUGGCAUUUAUAAGUUUUUACUACUUUUUUACUUUGAAAUUGACUUAAUGAACUACUUCCUUUUGGAUUUUUGAAGUCUUAUAGUACAAAAAUAGUUAAUUUAAAAUUUAACAUUAUGACCAAAUAAUCUUUGAAGGUCCUCUUCUGUCCAGGUCUUGCUUUGUUCCCAUCCUUAAUGCUGCACUGAUUGAAUAAUGACCUACCUAUCUGCAGAAAACUUGAAUUGCUGUGGACUUCUUCUACUCUAAUUUAUUAUAUUGGAGUAUUAUUGCCCAUAAUUUCAAUUUUCUGUGGUGACCUGUCUCCACAGGCCCCAGCUCCUCUCCACACCUCUUCCCAGCAAACCCAUAUUUAGCCCCAGCCCCUGCCCCUGCCCCUGCCCCAGCCCUUGCCCCUGCCCCAGCCCCUGCCCCUGCCCCAGCCCCAGCCCCUGCCCCUGCCCCUGCCCCUGCCCCAGCCCCAGCCCCAACCAAGCCCCAGCCCCAGCCCCAGCCAAGCCCCUGUCCCACUCCUGUUUCUCCCUAAAGCCAGUCCAGUUUGUAUUGAUUUGAUGCUAAAAAUAAGUUUCAGUUGCUCUUCCAUCAGACUGGGAUACCUUGUCUGCCUCUAGCAUUGCUGAUCUUGAGUGCUGACUACCUGAGUCACCAUUUUCAAUUAAUGUACACAAUCCCAUUUGCCCAUUAUCUCAUGUUAGAACAAAGAAUUUGUGCAAUAAUGUUAGGAAAUUUAAUUGUGAGCUUCAUAUCAGACAAUUAUUGUCCAUAAAUCUGCUUACUCAUCAUCUCAAUCUCCUGCCUUUAAGGAAGGAGAAACCAUUCCUCUGUCAUUGCUGCAGUAGUCAAAAUCCCAGUUUUCUGGAAAGUGCAUAUAUACUGUGCUGACCACCUAAACUCUUUGCACUCAGUGAAAUUCUAAUUGUCCAUAAUCCUGCAUUGGACUAAAUCCCAAUUUAAAAACCCUUUUGCAUUCAGCAGUCCCAGUUGUCAUACCCUUGUCUGUUAAACAAAGGCAUCCUACCAUUUUUACCCUCUUGUGAGUCCUCCUGUUCUUGGACAAUUAAAGUACCAAAUUGUAAUUGUACAUUGUCUCACUCAUUAAUCAAUGACCUUCUGUCCCGUUUGCAUUGCUAUUAGGCAGUGCUGACUAUCUGAGACCAUGUUCCUUGAAUUAUUAUUAUUGACUAGAAUACCAAUUGUUCAUUACACAAAUCCUUUGCAGCUUCUUUGCACUAUAAGGGAAGUGCCCAUCACUAAAGUCCUUUACUUCGGAAUAUUAAUGGAUACAAUCAUUACUGGUCAUGGUCCUGCCUACCAGAUAAGACCCACCCAUGCUCUUUUCAUUGUUCUUAGGUAGUGUGGACUACCUACCACCUUGCAUUAAUAUUUAAAAUCCUCAUUGUCCAUUGUCCCACUGUUAGCCUAGGAUAUCUCUUACCUCUAUGCCAUUUCUUCUAAGGAGUUCUGAUUACCCUAAGUCCUUUCUCUUAAACAAUUUAUGUGCAUAAUUGCAUAUACCUGUGGUCUCAUGCAAUUAAAAAUUAAAUCCUACACUCUGUGGAAUAUUGCUAGGUAGUGCAAAUUAUUCAAGGACUCAGCUUUGGGACAGGUAAUCCGCACAGUUGCGGUUGUCCAGAGUCCCAUCCAUUUUAGUGGGCCAGCUGUGUCCCAUAUGCGCUGCCUAGCGCGUGUCACGGCGGACCCGGUAUGCGAACUCACUAAUGCGNNNNNNNNNNNNNNNNNNNNNNNNNNNNNNNNNNNNNNNNNNNNNNNNNNNNNNNNNNNNNNNNNNNNNNNNNNNNNNNNNNNNNNNNNNNNNNNNNNNNGGAUGUGCUUAAAUGUAUCUACAGUCCCUUUUGUUAACCUAUGAUCCCGUUCCCAUCUAACACCCUUUGCAUGACUGCAGAGGGUACUUGGGAUAGUUAAUGCGCUCAAUUAGAGCUACAGAUCCUUCUGUUAGUGGAGAUUCCCAUGCCCUCCUACUCCAUUUGCAUUACCAAAGGGAGUACAAGGGACUGUUAAUGGGCCUAAAUGCAGCUACAGUCCCUAUGUUAACCUAGGAUCCCAUUUCCACCUAACUCCCUUUUCAUUAAUACAGAGCCUACAUGGGACUUAAUGGGCUUUAUUGUACUACUGUCCCUUCCAUUAAUCUAGCAUCCCAUCCCCACAUAAUUCCCUUUGCAUUACAAGGGAGGAUACAAGGGACUUUUAAUGGGCUUAAAUGCAGGUUCAGUCCCUUUCUUAUUUUACCUAGGAUCCCAUUCCCACAUAAUUCCCUUUGCAAAACCACAGAGUACAAGGUACUGUUACUUACUGUACUUAAAAGCAGCUAUAAGAUACUCAUGUUGCAACAGAAGAAAGGGUGGGGGAAAAACUGUAAUUGCAAUGUAUACAUGUAAGGAUAACCUGACCCCCUUGCUGUACAGUGGGAAAAAAAAAAAAAAAAAAAAAGCAGCUAUAGUCACUUAUGUUUAUGUAGAACUCCAUUUCCACUAACUCCCUUUUCAUGACUGCAGAGGGUAUCUGGGACUGUUAAUGGGCUUUAUUGCAGCUACAGUCCCUUCUGUUUGUCUGGAUUCCCAUCCAGUCCUAUACAAUUUGCAUUACCACAGAAUAUCUAAGGUAACUAGCUUAAUGAGCUUAAAUACAGCUACAAUCCUUUAUGUUAACCUAAAAUUCCAUCCCCACCUAAUUCUUUUAGGACGGCUGCUGAGAGUACAUGGGACUGUUAAUGGGCUAUUUUGCAACUACAGUCCCUUCUGUUAGUCUAGAAUCUGUUUCCAUCCUACUCCAUUUGCAUUACCCUAUAGCGUAUAAGGGACUGUUAAUGUGCUUAAAUGGAGCUGUGUAGUCCCUUAUCUUAACCUGGUAUCACACCCCAACUAAUUCUCUUUUCAUACUGCAGAGCCUACGUGGAACUUGUUAAUGGACUUAAUUGCACUGCUGUCCCGUCUAUUAGUCUAGGAGUCCACCCUUCCUACUCAGUUUACAUUACCCUAGAGUGUAUGAGACUGUUAAUGUGGUUAAAUGCAUCUGACUGUUAUGUUUACCUAUGAUCCCAUUCUCACAUAAUUCCUUUGCAAUACCGUAAAAGGUAAAAGGAAUGUUACUGUGCUUAAAAGAAGCUAUAGUCAUUUACAUUUAUCUAGGACCCUGUUCCCAUCUAACUGACUUUCAGUGACACAGGGGGCAGUUGGGACUGUUAAUGGGCUUUAUUGCAGCUAUAGUCCCUUGUGUUAAUCUGGAAUCACUUUCCUUCCUGCUCAAUUUGUAUUACAACUGAAGGGAACUGGGACUGUCAAUAUGCUUAGGUGCAGCUACAGAUCCUCACCUUAACCUAGGAUCCCGUUCCCACCUAACUAUCUUUUUGUUAAUGCAAAGCCUAUGUGGGACUUGUUAGUGGGCUUAAUCGCACUAUUGUCCCUUCUGUUAUUUUAGGAUCCCCUUUUCCUACUCGAUUUGCAUUACCUUAAGAUGUAUGAGACUGGAUUUGCUUAAAUGCAUCUACAGUUCCUAUGUUAACCUAUGAUCCCAUUCCCAUCUAACACCCUUUGCAUGGCUGCAGAGGGAACUUGGGAUAGUCAAUGGGCUCGAUUAGAGCUACAGUCCCUUCUGUUGGUUGAGAUUCCCGUUCCCUUACUCGUUUUGCAUUACCAAACGGGGGAAGAAAGGGCUGUUAAUAUGCUUAAAUGCAAUUACAGUCCCUUAUGCUAACCUGGGAUUCAUCCCCAAAUAACUCCCUUUUCGGGAUUGCAGAGGAUACUUGGGACUGUUAAUGGGCUUAACUGCAUCUAUAGUCUCUUCUGUAAGUCUAGAAUCUGUUCCUUUCCUACUUGAUUUGCAUUACUACAGAGGAUACAAGGGACAGUAAAGAGGCUUAAAUAUAGCUGCAAUCCCUUAUGUUAACCUAGGAGCCUGUCCACAGUUAUUUCCCUUUUCAUUAAUGCAGAGCCUACAUAGGACUUGUUAAUAGCCUUAAUUGCUCUACUGACCCCUCCCGUUAGUUUGGGAUCCCAUCCUCACCUAAUUCUCUCUGCAUUACCAGGGAGGAUACAAGGGACUCUUAAUGUGCUUAAAUGAAGGUACAGUCCUUUUUUUUAAACCUAGGAUUUCAUUCCCAUGUAACUCCAUUUGCACUACCACAGAGGGUACAAGGGGCGAAUGAGCCUAAAAGCAGCUACAGUCCCUUAUGUUAACCUAAGGAUCCUGUCUCCUAGGAACUCCCUUUUCCUGGCUGCAGAGGAUACUUGGGACUGUUAGUGAGAUUUACUGUAGCUACAGUCUCUUUUAUUAGUCUAGAUUCCCAUUACCAUCCUAGAUGUUUUGCAUUACCACGGACUAUACAAGGGACCAUUAUAGGGCUUAAAUGCAGCUCCAGUCCCUUAUUAACCUAGAAUCUCAUCCCCACCUACAGCCUUUUUCAUGCUGCAGAGGGUACUUGGGACUGUUGAUUGGCUUUAUUGCAGCUGCAGUCCCUUCUGUUAGUCUAGAAUCUGUUUCCAUCCUACUCCAUUUGCAUUACCACAGAGGGGACAAGGGACUGUUAAUGUGCUUAAAUAGAACCACAGUCCCUUAUGUUAAAUGAGGAUCCCAUCCCCAACUAACUCUCUUUUCAUUACUGCAGAGCUUAAGUAGGACUUGUUAAUAGACUAUUGCAUUACUGUUCUGUUAUUCUAUAGGUUCCCAUCCCUCAUUCUAUUUGCAUUACCCUAGAGUGUAAAGGGACUGUUAAUGAGCUUCUAUGGCUCUACAGACCCUUACGUUACCUAUGAUCUUUUUGCCACUUAACUCCCUUUUCAUGCCUAUAGAGAGUACUUGGGACUGUUAAUGGGCUUUAUUAUGGCUACAGUCCCUUCUGUUUGUCCAGAAUUUGUUACUUUUCUACUCGACUUGCACAGAUGGUACAAGGGACUGUUAAUGUGCUUAAAUGAAGCUACUGUCUCUUAUGUUUAAAUAAAAUCCCAUUCCCCACCUAAAACUCUUGCAUGGCUGUAGAAGGUACUUGGGACAGUUAAUGGCUUUAAUUAGAGCUACAGUCCCUUCUAUUGGUCAAUAUUCCCAUGCCCAUACUCCAUUUGCAUUACCAAAGGGAGUACAAGAGACUGUUGGUAUGCUUCAAUGCAAUUACAGUCUCUUAUGUUAACCUACGAUCUGAUACCCAACUAUCUCCCUUUUUAUUAAUGCAGAAGCUACAUGGGACUUGUUAACGGCUUUAAUUGCACUACUGUCCUUCCAUUAGUCUAAGAUCCCAUCCCCAACCUGAUUGCCUUUACAGUACCAACCAAGGAAGAUACAAGGGACUGUCAGUGUGCUUAAAUGCAAUUACAGUCCCUUUUAAAUUUUACCCAGGAUCCCAUUCCCCCUUAUCUCCCUUUUCAACACUACAGAGGGUACAAUUGACUUACUGUGCUUAAAAGAAGCUAUAGUCCCUCAUGUUAACCUAAGGAUCUCAUCCCCAACUAACUCUCCUUUCAUGACUACAGAGAGUACUUGGGACUGUUAAUGGGCUUUAUUGUAGCUAUAGUCCCUUUUGUUAGUCUAGACUACCAUUUACUACAUGAUUUGCAUUACCACAGAAUAUGCAAGGGACUGUUACUGCGCUUAAAUGCAGUUACAGACCCUUAUGUUAAUCUAGAAUCCCAUCCCCAACUAUCUCUCUUCAUUAAUGCAGAGCCUGCAUAGGACUUAUUAACAACCUUUAUUGCACUACAGUCUCUUCUGUUAGUCUAGGAGCACAUCCCCUCCUAGUUCCCUUUACAUUACUAAAGAAGAUACAAGGGACUGUUGAUGGGCUUAAAUACAACUACUGUCCGUUAUGUUAACCUAGGAUCCCAUCUCCACCUGAAUCCGUUUGCAUGACUGCAGAGGGACCUUAGGCUUUAUUACGGGCGGCUACAGCCCCUUCUGGUAGUUUAGCUUCUGUUGCUGUCCUACUGGAUUUGCAUUACUACAGAUGGUGCAAGAGACUGUUAACGUGUUUAUUAAAUGGAGCUACAGUCUUUUGGGUUUACUUAGAAUCCCUUUUCUCUAACCUAAAACCCUUUGCAUGACUGUAGAGGGUACUUGGGACUGUUAAUGGGCUUAAUUAGAGCUAUAGUCCCUUUUAUUUGUUUAGAUUCUCGUGCCUUCCUACUCUAUCUGCAUUACUAAAGAGACUGUAAUGCACUAUUUAUGUGCUUAAGUGGAGCUCCAGCUCUUGUGUUAACCUAGCAUCCUAUUUCUACCUAACUCCCUUUUCAUAACUGCAGAGCCUAUGUGGGACUAUUAGUGAACUUUACUGCAGUUACCUUCUGUUAGUGUAGAUUCCCAUCCUCUUUUAUAUGAUUUGAUAACCACAGACUGUACAAUGGACUACCAAUGUGCUUAAAUGCAGCUACAGUCCUUUAUGUUAAGCUAGAAUCCCAUUCUCACCUAACUCUUCUCAUUGAUGCAGAGCCUAUAUGGGACUUGUUAAUGGGCUUCAUUGCUCUUCUCUGUCCCUUCUACUAGUCUAGAUUCCCAAGCUCUCCUACUCAAUUUGCAUUACCAAGGGGGGUACAAUGGACUGUUAAUGUGCUAAAAUGCAGCUACAAUCUCUUACAUUAAUCUAGAAUCUCAUGCCCCAACUAACGCCCUUUGCAUGGCUUCAAAGGAUACUUGGGACUCUUAAUGGGCUGAAAUACAGCUACAGUCUCUUAUGAUAACCUAGGAUCCCAUUCUCACCUAUCUCCCUUUUCAUUGCUGCAGAGCCUGCAUGGGACUUGUUAAUGGUCUUAAUUGCACUGCUGUCCCUUUCGUUAGUCUAGGAUUCUAUCCCCUCAUAAAGAAUUACAUUACCGUAGAGGUUUCAAGGGAAUGGUAAUGUGCUAAAUGCACAUAGUCCCCCUCUUUUUGUAACCUAGGAUCCCAUUCCACCUAACUCCCUUUGCAUUAUCACCAACUGUACAAGUGACUGGUAAUGGGCUUAAAAGCAGCUAUUGUUAACCUAGGAUCCCAUCCCCAUUCAACUUCCUUUGCAUGAGUGCAGAGGACACUUGGGACUGUUAAUGAGUUGUAUUGCUGCUACAGUCCCUCCUGUUAUUCUAGGAUCCAUGCCUUUUUUGAUUUGCAUUGCAGGGGAGGGUACUAGGGACUGUUAAUGUACUUAAAUAGAGCUACAGUCCUUUAUGGUAACCAGGAUCUGGAUCCCACCUAACUGCCUUGUAUUACUUCAGGGCUUACAUAGGACUUUUUUAAUGGGCUUAAUUGCUCUGAUUUCCCUUCUUUUAGUCUAGGUUCCCCUCCCUCCUACUCUAUUUUCAUUACCCCAGAGUGUACAAGGGACUGGUAAGUAUGCUUAAAUGCAAUUAUAGUCCCUUCUGUUAGUCUAGGGUCCCAUUCCCACCUAAUUCCCUUUACAUUACCAAAGGAGAUACAAGGGACUGUCGUUGUGCUUAAGUGUGGGUACAAUCCCCAUUUUUUCUUUUUUCAGCCUAGGAUCCCUUUCCCACCCAAUUGCCUUUGGAUGACUGCAGAGAAUACUGGGGACUGUUAAUGGGCUUUAUUGUAGCCAUAGUCCUUUUUCUUAGUCUGAGAUCCCAUCUCCUCCUAAGUGAUUAACAUUACCCCAGAGUGUAUACAGGACUGGUACUUUGCUAAAUGCAAUUAUAGUCCCUUCUAUUAGUCUAGGAUCCCAUCCCCACCUAAAUCCCUUUACAUUAUCACAGGGGAUAGAUACAAGGGACUGUUGUGCUUAAAUGUAGGUACAGCCCCCCCCCCCCUUUUAACCCUAAGAUAUCUUUCCCACAUAAAUGCCUUUGCAUGACUGCAGAGGAUACUUGGGACUGUUAAUGGGCUUUAUUGUAGCCACAGUCUCUUUCCAUAGUCUGGGAUCCCAUCCCCUCUUAAAUGAUUUACAUUAUCGCAGAGGGCGCAAGGAACUGCAAAGGUGCUUAAAUGCAGGUAGUUGGUUUUUAAACCUAGGAUCCCAUUCCCAGCCUGACUUGCUUUGAAUUACUAAAGAGGCUACAAGGGACUCUUAUGUGUUUAAGUGCAGGUACAGUGCCUUUUGUUAACCUCAAAAUCCAUUCCCACCUAACUCCCUUUUCCUGACUGCAAAGGGUAAUUGGGACUGUUAACGGGCUGUACUGCAGCCACAUUCCUCUCAUAGUCUAGGAUCCCAUUCCCUCCUAUUUGAUUUGCAUUACCCCAGAGGGUACAAGGGACUUUUAAAGUGCUUAAGUGGGAGUUCCUGUCAUGGCACCGCGGAAACGAAACCAACUAAGAACCAUGAGGUUUGGGGUUCAAUCCCUGGCCUUGCUCAGUGGGUUCAGGAUCCAGCGUUGCCCUGGGCUGUGGUGUAGGUCGCAGACGCUGCUCGGAUCUGGCAUUGCUGUGGCUGUGGUGUAGGCUGGCAGCUGUAGCUCCAAUUCGACCCCUAGCCUGGGAACUUCAUAUGCCACAGGUGUGGCCCUAAAAAAAAAAGACAAAAAAAACCAAAAAAAACAAAAAAACCAAAGUGCUUAAGUGGCACUAUAGUCCCUUAUGUUAUCUAGGACCCCAUUCCCAUCUAACUUUUCAUGACUGCAGAGUGUACUUGGGACUGUAAAUGUACUUAACUGCCUAUACAGUCUCACCUCUUAGUCCAGAUUACAUGCCCUCCUACUUGAAUUGUAUUAUAACAGAGGGUACAAGGGACUUUUAAUGUGCUUUUUUAAAAGCAGCUAAAUUUCCUUACCAUAACCUGAAAAUCCAUUUCCAUCUCAAAAUCCACUCCCACCUAACUCCCUUUCCAUCACAGCAGAGGGUACUUGGGACUGUUAAUAGGCUUAAUUAAAGCUAUUCUCCCUUCUGUUGGUCUAGAUUUCCUUUCCCGCCUCUAUUUGGAUUGUACCUCAGUGUACAAUGGACUGUUAACUGUGCUUAAAUGCAGGUACAGUCCUUUUUUUAAAACCUAGGAUCCUAUUCCCACCUAACUCCCUUUGCUUUACUGCAGAGGGUACUUGGGGCUUGUUAAUAGGCUUAGUUGGACUACAGUCCUUUCUGUUAGUCUAGGAUCCCAUCCCCUCCUACGUGAUUUGCAUUUCCACAAAGGCUAUAAGGGACUGUUAAGGUGCUUAUUAAAUGCAAAUACAGUCCCUUAUGUUAACCUGGGAUCCCAUUCCCACCUAUCUCCCUUUGCAUGACUGCAAAGGUAUUUGAGACCUUUAAAGUAGUUAAUGGCUGCUGUAGCCUCUUCCAUUAUAAGUGUACUUUCCCAAGCACUCCAGCUCCAUGUAACCUGGGAGCACAUUUGGGGCUGUUAAUGUGCUCAUUUUUAGCUGUGGUCCCUUUUAUAAUUCUAGGAUCACAUCCCUUUCUGCUUCUUUGUGUUACUUGUUGGUAUUUGGGACAGAAAAGUACUUAAAUGCAGCUGUGAUCUAACUUAGGCUCCCAUGCCCUCUAACUUUUUACAUUACCCCAGUGUAUAUUUGGGACUGUUAAAGUGCUUAAUUGCAGCUGUGGUCCCCUCUGUUAGUCUAAUUUCCUAAGCUCACCAAUUCCCUUUGUAUUACAGCAGAGGGUACUUGGGACUGUUAAAGUGUUUAUUUGCAGCUCUGGUCCCUUCUCUUAGUCUGGGGUCCAUGCCCCCAGCUUUGUUUGCAUUACCACAGAGGGUACUUGGAACUGUGAAUGUGCUUAAAUUCAGGUGUGGUCCCUUUUAAUUUAGGAUUCCUCAACUCCUUUUACCAGGGAGGGCAUUUGGGACUGUCAAGGUGGUAAGGGCACCUGCGUUCCUUUCUUUCUGUUCAUCUAGGAUCCCAUUCCCUCCUACUCCCUUUGUAUUGCAUGGGAGGAUUUGGGGGGCUCUUAAGGUGCUUAACUGCAGCUGUGGUCCCUCCUAUUAGUUUCCAAUCCCUUUCUACUCCCUUUGCAUUACCACAGAGGGUACUUGGGACUGUUGUAGUACAUCCCAUUCUCUCAUGCCUGUUAGCAUUACAGCACAAGGUCCUGAACACCACGGCCCUUUCUUUUGCACUGUUAAUGCACAAUUUCAUUUGUCCCUCAUCUUCUGCAGUAUUUAUAGACCUCACUCAUUUCCCUUGUAUUUAGUGGUGAAUGCCCUUUACUCAAGACCUGUGUACUAGGAUAGUUAAAGUGAGCCAUGGUAAUUGACCCCAAAUAAUGUCUUUCACUUAAGUCCCUUGUAUUCUUUGUUUUACAAGAAGAUGUAUUAAUUACCUCAGUUACUUCCUUCUGGGAGUGUUUACAUGCAAAAUUCCAGUGUUCAUGGCCCCUUUCUUUAAACUAAUACCCCUCCUUUUUUAUAUUCAGGGGAUGUUAGUGACCCAAAGUCCCUCUCUUGGGAUUCUAAUGUGCAUGUGCCCUCGUGAUAAGCUAAUACGUUGAGUUCAGGGAUUACUGACUACCCAAGUCUUUUUUUGGUGGGGGUGGGGGACAGUUAAUGUGCAAAAUUAUACUAGGAUCCCAUCCUAUCCCACCCCUUUUGCAUUUGGGGUGCUGACCAACUGUGGCUGCUUCUCCUGUACAGUUUAAAUGCACAUAAUUUCAGUAAUCCAUGCUCCCUUAUGUUAGACUAGAAUCCCAUUUUCUUGCCCCAUUUACAUUACUUUGGGAGCUUCUGAAUAGCCAAGAUUCAUUUUCUUGGACUGUUAAUGUGUAUACUGCCAUUUGCUCCUGUACAUCAGGUAAGGACCCUCUCCAUUCUAUUUAUAUUUCAGCAGGAGGUGCCUACUUCUUAAGAUUUAUAUACUUCUGCAGUUAAUCUGCAUAAUCUUAGUUGUCCUGUACACAUUCUCAAUUGUCCACAACUGCUUUUUAGGUUAGGACUCCUUUACUUAUUUAAGCACAGCAUACUGACUACCUUAAAGGCCUUGUCUUGGGACUGUUACUAUGUGUAAUUACAAUUGUCCAUGGUCCUUUGAGUUAACUUGUGUCCCAAUUUUCACACUCUCUUUACUUUAUUGCAAUGGGGUACUGUUCACUUAAGGCCCCUUUCUCAAACAGUAAUAUAUGUAAUGACAAUUACAUUAGGAUCCUUCCCCUUCACAUUCCCUUUGAAGUACCACAAGGAUUCUGAUCCCUAAGGUCCCAUUUCUUGACCUGUUAAUGUACGUGAUGUAUUUGUCUGGGUUCUUGUGCAUUCCUUUUCUCUUCCAGCAGGAAGUGCCCCCUCCACAAGACUGUUAAGUUUGGACAGUCAAGAUGCACAUUUGUAACUGACUGCAGCCAGUCACCUUGGAUGUUAAUGUGUAUAACUGCACAUGGCUCAUCCCAUAUGAAUAAGAUCCUACCCUCUCAGACCCCUUCUCUAGUAUAGCAAGGGUACUGAUUCCUAAGACCUCUUUCCAUGGCUAGUUAUUGUACAUAAUUUGCUUUUGUACAUGUUCCUGUACACUAAAUAAGGAUGCCCCUCUUCCCACUCCCUUUGUCUUUUACAGGGAGCGUACACUACUUUAAGAUCCUUAUAUUUAUUUGUACAAAGUACAUGAUUUUAAUUGACCAUACCAUACCCUUUGGACAUUAAUGUACAUAAUUACACCUUAAUUCAUCUUAUCCUUUUGCUCUCCAUUUGCAGUAUAUCAGGGUUUGUGACCCUAAAUCAGCUCUUUCCUUGGCCUAUUAAUGUGCAUAAUUGCAUUUGUCCAGGUUCUUGCACACUAGACAAGGACACCCCCCCACCCCCGCCAACUUCCUAUGCCUUCCGGUAAGUAGGUGGUUCCCACUGCUAAGACCUUUAUAUUUGGACAGUUAAUGUGCAGAAUUGCAGUUUUCCACAACCCAGUUACUUCCAGGACUGCUGUAUCUCCUUUGCAAUACCUCAAGGGAUACUGUUUUUCCCCAAGAUCGUUUCUUGUGGACCGUCAAUAUAUGUAAUUGAAAUGGUUGUCUUCAUCCAUAGACUGAGAUAAUAUCCCCUCAGCUAACUAUCAUGACCUCAGCUCUUGGACAAUUAAUAUUCACCAAUAACAUAUCAAAAGUACUGAUCAUUAGAUAGGACCCCUGUUCCCUUACUGUAUACAUCAGGGAUACUGACUAAGGCCCCCUUUUUUGACUGUUAAUGCGAAUAUUUGCAAUUAUCUAAUUCCCCUUCUAUUAGAGUAGGACAUUAUUUCCUUGCACCCCAUUCGGAUUACUGAAAGGGGCUGCUGACCACACAAAACUUCUACUGGGACUGCUGAUGAGCACAAUGACGAUGAGAAAUGGGUUUUUACUCCCUGGCCUUGUUGGGCAAGCGCUCCCAGCCCAGCCCCAAUUUCCCAUGGUAUAAUAAAGUAUAAAUACUGCAGUGUGCCAUGAACUUUCCAUCAAACAGCAGCCCAUACUCCCACUCUACUUGCAUUGGCUCCAGUGUAUCAAAUUCCAAAUAGCUAUGGUCUUGCCCUUAUGUUCCCUCUCCAUACCCUUUGCCUGCCCUUGGACCUUUCUUAUGGACUAUUAAUGCUCACAAUUUUCAGGUGUCCAUGUAUCCAGAUAAGAUUGUGCUCCCUUGCCCCUCCUGCCCCUUCCACCCCUGCCCUGCCCUUUUGCAUUGUUGCUGGGAAAUGUCCACUGGCAAAGCCCUUUUGUUUUUAAGACAUUAACAAUCCCAGAUGUCAUUGCUUUGCCCAUUUUGAAUUGCUGUAAUGCCUCAGUUACCCUUUCUUUGGUUCCGCCCAUCAGACAUGGACCCUUCCACUUCCUUCUUUGCAUUACUCCUGAGUAGUACUGACUACCCACAGCCCCUUCUGUGUUAUUAACACAGUAUUGAUUGUCCCAUUUUUUCAGCCCACCAGCCCAAGGUCUCCCUACCACUUUGAUGUUGUAUUUGUGCAGUAUUGACUACCAAAAGCAGACCUGAACUAUGUGGGUGGGCCUUCACUCCUUUUCCUGCAUUUGUUAAUGAUCCCAAUUCCAAUUAUUGUAACAUUCUGGGGACAGGAACCAUUCCUGCCCCUCUUUUACUGCUUUACUAGGCAAAAUUUUUAAGGCAAGUCAGACCCAAGGGAACUUGGAUUGCUACCCUGUAUUUAUUUAUUAUUUAUUAUAUAUAAGUAUCAAUUGAAAAUUAUCUCCCCAGGAAGGAAGUUUAGCAUUGUCUCUGCAUUCUUCCUUUCAGAGCAGAUUGCCUGGCUAAGAAUCUCUCUUGGCCUCUUGUAUAUUCCCAACAUGUAAUGCCAAUUGCCAGGAUACAACCAAAAAGUUGUUAUUUUUUAAAUUUUUUAAAACGUACAUCUGGUUUGCAAGGUGGAAUUGAUAACCUGGUCAUUGAAUUUUUGAAGUCUUAAAAACCCAUUUAUUCCAUGUAUCUGAUGACCAGUGUCUCUCAUUUACUAAGGGUGGUGGGUCUGUGGAUAGACGGCUGUGACUUUGAUAUUUUAGUAUUACUACCAAAGGAGUUCUAGAAUGGAAUUCUUAGGACAAGUAUCUUUGGGCUCUACCACCAUUUUGAAACCAUUCCUGUUUUGGCUAUACCAUUAUUCACUUUUAGAAAAACAACCUGAACUUCCUAAUCCUUAAAUUUCUUCAUCUGGAGCAUCAACCAGCCCCUGCUUAUUUCAAGAACAUUGCUAUAAAUGGAUAAAAUGAGAAAACAUAUCCUGAAGUGCUUUUUGGAAACUGUUGAUCACUUUGUUUGAUUAAUCUGUUAAAUAAAAUGCGUUACAUUAAAUUCUUAGCCUAAAGCACCACACUGAAGUGAGGGCUUAGAAAUGAUGGGACCAGUUUUCUGUUUUAUAUUAAAAUAAAAAUAAGCCAAGAUCUAGUCAUUCUUUUGGAUAUAGGUUUUCAGGAGUGAGAUAGCUGCCUGGUUAAGAUGAAUAAUAGCCUAGCUUCCAGUGUACAGGGUGUUUGAUGGCAGAGAAGUAUUAAUGUGGAACUGCUGAAGGAAAUAACUAGUUAUCACUGCAGCAGUUCCUUGUAAUCACUGAAAAGGAUACUCUUCUCUGAGAAGGAUGUCAAAAGAUCGGCUCAGCUCAGGGUGCAGUUUGCACUACUAGCUCCUUGGACAGCUGUAAGAAGAGUCUCUGGCUCUUUAGACUACUGGAUGAAUUCUGAGCCGGUACCCCCACCUCAAGAGGAAGGAUGGAUCAAUUUUAGGUGAAUUGAAGCCUAUACUAAACAGCCUCCAAAGGAUAUUCCAAGCAAGUGAGCCCUGAGACUGCAAGCAGCUCUAAGAAGUUCCGCAUUGAUCAGGUCUUCCCUUUUGAGAAUCUGGAUAAGCUCCAACCAAUCUAAAAGGAUGGUUUGCAGACUGUCUGGAGAAAAAGAUCUUCCUCAGAAGAAUAGGCUUGUUGCCUUACAGUGUUAGUGACUCAUUCCCUUUGAUGAUCCUUAGGUGGAGAUGGGGCAUGAGGAUCCUCCAGGGGAAAAGCUCACUACCACUGGGCAACAACCCUAGGUCAGGAGAUUCUACUAAGAUUCUUUCCUGGGUCCAGAUAGGAAGAUGAAGUCUCAAGACAACCACCACACAUCUGAGGAAAACAGGGACAACAACUGCCAUAUCUUACAUUCAUCAUGACAUUCAUCAUGAGCAGAUCAUAAUUCUGGACCCUUUGAUCCCCAAAGCCUCCCUUGAGGCCCUGUUGGAGAACUUCACCAAUCAUUUAUAUACUUCAAGAUGCCUUGGGAUAACUGGACAAAACAAAAAAACAACCUGUUUGAGAAGAUAAAACAGUUGUAUCUUUUUAUGCUGUGCCUGCUAAUUGAAAGAAGCCUCAUAACUAUGAAUGUGAACCUGACUAGGAAUGGAACAAAGUUAUCUAUCAUCAGCCUGGAUCUAAAGAAUCAGGACCCUGCAUACUCUAGCUCCUGAUUGUUCCCUUCAUAUUUGCCAAAUCGUUAUCUUUCUAAGAAGCAGUGUAGAGAGCAAGAAAUUUGAACACACCAAAGGAAGAUCAACAUGCCUGGCGGUCUGGCAUUUUAAAACAGGAUGAAUGAUUGUCUGCCUUUGCUUAUCUUAAACUCUUAAGUGUGUAUUUGUUUGCUUGUCUCUUUCUUUCUUCCUUGCGCAUCUUUGGUCUUUUUCUCUAAAUUGUGUCUUACCCAUUUCCAUGAUUCUUUUGCUAGUUUCUUCUCAGUAUAUCUUUGUCUCCUUUUUUGUACCUGAGUGUGCGGUCUGUGUCUCGUCUUAGAUGUCUCUCUCUAGUUUCUUUUUUUCAUUUUGUUAUUGAUUCUCCUUGGUCUCCUAGAUCUGGCUCUUUCACUGUUGUUCACUUUGUGUCUCUUGAGUCACAUACUAUGUGCUCUUUGCUCAUUUCUUGUUAUGCCUACCUUUCUUCUUUUUCUCUUUGUGAAUUCUGAUUGUCUGUUAUCCAUUCCCCUUCUUGUUCGUUUGACAUUUCACCUAGUCUAAUACUGGCUACCCUUUUGCUGUUUCUACUCCUGAUCUCACAUUUCUCUUUUCACAUAUUCUUUUUGCCUCUCUUGGGCCAUUUUCUCUUUUUCGUGCUUUGUAUGCUUCUGUGUCUCUUUGUGCUUUGUGAUUUUCCAUUUCAACAUCCAUCUCUCUGUUCUCUUAUUUCUUCUCUACUUUUGACUUCCUAUUCACCUUUGAGUAUUUUGGCCUCUUCUUGUGUCUAUGUCUCCCCUUUGAUUACAUGCAAUUCUCUCGCCUUGCACAUUUUCUAUGUAUGUGUGUGGGCUCUUGUGUGUUUGUAACAAAGGGGCUUCCUAACCCCUUCUCAGUAGGUGCAAGAGUGUCAGCUACCAAAAUAAGCAUUGCAGAGCUGUUCCUUAUGCCAGACCAUGCUGUGAGAUGCUGUGAGAUUGUGCUGUGAAAUGAUCCAAGACCAAUAGAAGGCCCAAGAUCUGGACUGGAGUUGGAUGGAAGGCUAAAGUCUCAGUGAAACUGAAGGCCAAAGACCUAAGACUCAAGCCUGUGUAUAUGGACAGAAGGCCCAAGAGAGACAGAUAUCUCAAGACUAAAUUAAGUGGGAAGCUCAAGGUCCAUGGCCCAGAAUCUGGGAAUGAUAGAAGCACCAAGACCAAGGGAAAUUACAAGAUGAUAACCCUAAAUCCCAGCUCUUUUCUAUUGUUCUCCUCCCUACUCUUGGAUAUUUUCACUUCUUCCUUUCCUGUUCUUAUACCACCAUUUAAACCCACUUUUGUGAUGUUCUUUUUGAUGUUGCUGUUACCUUAAAGUUAAAGAAACAUAUCUUCAAAUCAACAGUAUUAUGCCUGGGCCAGUCUUAAACCAGUUUUUUUAAACUUCCAUUUCUCUUCACCUCCACUCCACUUGAGAGACACAUAGGUGACAUUAUAUUUCAGUCCUCUCUUUUCCUCAGAUACUCUAGGCUAAUGAGAAGAGGAAAGUAUCAUGCUGUUGAGGGGGAAAAAAUGUGCCAGGCUAUCUAGAGAAAAUAUGAAGAGAUGCUCCAGGCCAAUGAGAAGAAUUAGACAGGAAAUACACAGAUGCGCCAGCCUGCUGAGAAGCAUCAGCCAGCAACACCUUACUCCUUUGAGCUUAGGUGAGCAGGAUUCCUGAGGUUUGGGUACUAGUGAUGGUUAUGAAAAAGGAAAUUGGGUCUGGGACAGAGUGAGGGAGGUCCCAAGGAGAUAGCCUGAACUCCCUGCUCAUAGUAGUGGCCUAAUAAUUUGGCAAACUGCACUAACCUUGCGCCUGGUUUUAAUACCCACCUCUAGGCUUAAAGUUGAAAGAACUUACGCGUAUUUAGCAGGUUUAAUACUUUCCUUCAUUUCUUUCCUCUUACCAUGAGGGAAGAUAAUUUAAAUGAAAAUAUAUGUGAAACCUUUGUAAAACACAAAAAAACAAAGCAUUCUCAUUAAUAACAUAUUGGCAUUUGUGCACAGCAAAGAUUUGGAAAUGUACUGUCAGUUGUGAAGUACUAUGUAAAUCAGGGGUCAUCAUAUGCUUUCUGUAAAAGAUCAGAAGGUAAAUCUUGAGGGCCAUAUGGUUUCCUGCUUUAAAAAAACAAGUGAAUUUGGUCUGUGGGCCAUAGUUUAUUACCCCUGAUGUAAUUGCCAGGGACUGUGUUCUGAAAUUAAUUCCUUCUCUGUGCCUGUCCCUGUAUUAGGCACUAAGGAUGUAAUGAUUACUUAUGAUCAUAUCUAGGUGAUCCAAAGAAAAGUAUGUAAAUGUGCUUUGUAAACUAUAAAGCACUUAAAGACUGGUAAAUGAACUCUGAUUACAUAGUAUAUACAAGCCAAGCAAUGUAUAUACAGUGUUAGGCACUGUGGAUACAAAAACCUGAGGGAUUUAAGAUAAUUGUGAACACUUAUAAUGUGCCAGAUAACAUUCUAGGCAUUACAGAUGUCAAAGGAAAAAACAAGUUCUCAUUACAGAAUUAAAAUUUUUACAUAGGAAGUACAUAUUAAAGUGCUUUGUAGGAGUUCCCGUCGUGGCUCAGUGGUUAAUGAACACGACUGGCAUCCAUGAGGACACAGGUUCAAUCCCUGGCCUCGCUCAGUGGGUUAAGGAUCUGGUGUUGCCGUGAGCUGUGGUGUAGGUCGUAGAUGCGGCUCAGAUCCCUCGUUGUUGUGCCUGUGGCGUAGGCCAGCAGUUACAGCUCCAAUUCAACCCCUAGCCUGGGAACCUCCAUAUGCUGCUGGUGCAGCCCUAAAAGACAAAAAGAAAAAAAAAAACAACAAAAAAAAAUAAAGUGCUUUGUAAACUAAAGCACCACAUAAGUACCAAUGGGCUAUAUAUGUUUACGAAUGAAUAAACAAAUAUUAAUUGCCUUAUAUGUGCCAGCUAUUAUUUCAGGUACUGUGAAAUCUAAGAUAAUACUCCCAAGUAAUAAGAGGGAGGUUUAUGUCUUACACUACAGAGGUAUAAGAAUUAGAUAUUGCUUAUUUUAGUCAAUCAAGACUUUACCAGUGAGGUCAGAUUAAAUUAUUACCAGGAUGUUUUCCCAGGUAACAGGAAAAUGUAAUGAAUGAGAUUGAGUUUUCUAAACUAUAAAAUGCUUCAUAAACAUAAGACAUUAGAUGUUUUCUAUGUGAAUAAAACUUAUGUGAGGCAGGCAUUAUCUCUACAAAAUUCUCAUUGUGUGCGUAACCCACUACGAGAAAAAUUGUAUAAAUAUUUAUACAAACUGUUUAAAUACUUAAGUGAAUUAAUUAUUCAUAUCAAUUGCCUACUAUGUGAACUCACUGUUAGAGGCAUGAAAGAUAUGCACACAUUUAUCAUUUUAUUGUGCCUGUAAAUGAGAAUAAAGUAAUACAUAUGUUAGCAUUUUGUGAACUCUAAAGCACCAUGUAAAUAUAACUAUUGAUCUUCUUAUUUGGUGUGCCUGUACUAGUUUACAAAAUUGCAUCAUAGUUAUACUAUGAAAAAGAGAAAAAAAAUUGAGGAAGGAUUUUUUUACUCUUGAACACUUUGAAUAUGAUAUUUAAAGGAUUAAAUGCCUGAUGAAUGAAAGACUAAAUAAUAAUUUUCUAUUAUGUGCCAGUCUCCUGAAUCAGGGCUGUGAAGAUAAUCCAUUGUUUUAUUGUGUUCUAGGUAGCAGAAUGUAAUGUGUAAAAUCAAUUUGUAAGUCUUAAACUGGCAUACAUUUCUGCUGAAUGAACAUUGAUUAGUUACUCUUUCUUAUCCCCAGAGAUAGCAAGUGGGGAUGCUAAAUUCAUUGUCAUUGUCACUGAACCUGCAACAGAGAUCUGUGUGUAAAUUUACAAAGCCUAUUGAUCUAUACAAAUAUUAGGAAUUAACUGUUGGCUCAAUGAGUGAUUACCAGUUACUUUCUAUGAGGCUCAGAACUGCACAUGCUCUAGGAUAUGAAAAUGAUAUCCUUAUCUGAUGUUCCCUGGAGGAAAUGAGGUAAUAGGUGUGGGAAUCUAGACUGAAAGUUACUUAAUCACUGCCAAGCUUAUUUGAUGGCAAAAACAUAGGAAAAAUGGAAUUGUGCAAGGCAGUAUGCUUCUGAAUGCUGAGCUAGGUGGAAAGAAAAUCCAGACCAGAAGGCUACUUGCUCCUUUGCCUGAUUGACGAGAUGGGAUUUUUUUCUUUAAGCAAGAUGUUGUGCUUGUUUUUAAAUUCUAAAGAUGGAGGUGAAUGAGAUCCACCCUGACAUGGCAUUAAAGGAGUAAAAAUUAAUGGCUCAAGUUGCUUUUAGAUUAAUUUGAUAAACAGUAUCUUUUAUGUGGAAUACAUUGUUCUAGGUCCUGAGCAUAACAGAAAUGAAAGGGGCCUAGUCUAAAGGGCAUUAGGUAGAUAACAAAUCAUGGCUGAAAAUUCAGAAAUGUCUUUGAUUUCUGGAAAUAUUUGAGUGCCUCUGGAAGAAUUUGUUGAUUAGAUCUGAUCCAAAAAAACCUAUUGACUUGCCUUGGAAAUUGAAAAAAUAGGGAAAAAAAGAUAUGAUUCUGUCAAUGUAAAAUGACAUUUUUCCUAGAUCUGGAAAGUCCCAGUGUCACUUGGUCAUUGACAUAGAUUGAAGCCAGAAGAUUGAUAAAAGAGCUCAUGGUUUGACCUUUAAUUCUUUAACAUUCUGCUUUUAUUAUGGUUAAAUGGUUUAUGAUGAAAAUCAAGCUGAAACAACUAGUUCUAAAAGUGUUUUGUUUUGUUUUUUUUUUUUUUUUACUCAUUGGUCUGCCAGAGAGUCAGAAAGCCACUUAACUAAAAACUAAAAAAAAAAAAAUAAUAAAAACUUCCUAGAUUUUUCAUAUUUUGUAAAAAAACUAGUCACUUGAGUGAAGUACUGUUCUUAAGUACCAAGAAUGAAGAUUUUCAAGAUCUAGAUCAAAAUAUAAUUUUGGUAGCUUAUAGAGGAAACAUAAGAACAAAUUUAAUAAGAGACUGAAGUUCUUUCAUUAGUUGAAAAACUUCAUUGAGCAGCCAUGAUAUUAAGAAACUGAAAUGGAAUGGUUAAGUAGACACCUUCUGCUUGGCAUGUGUGGUAGCGUAGGAAUAAGAGACCUUUGUGUUUACUCAUUCAUGUAAACACUGAAGAAGAUGAUGCUAAAUUAAAUAGAUGUGGCACAAAAGCACUUAGUCUUGGAGAUGUAGUUAAAAACAACAGUAAGAAGAAAUGGAGUGAAACUCUUCAUGAAACAGAAAUGUCUAUUUCAAGGCAUUGUGUGAUACUCCUAGACAGAAAACAAAAGAUCUUGACUGAAAGAUACUUGCUUGGCUUGGAAACUGAAAUAUAAGAGGAGAGGUUACUGUUUAUUCAUAUUUUCAUUUAUUUGUUCAUUCUGCCAGUAUAUUUGAGUGCCUACUGUGUGUAAGCUUUCUUGGCUAGUUUCUUAGUUGGCCCCAGAGACAUGAAAAAAUGAAUGUCUUCCAAGAGAACUUAGAACUUUAAAAACUUGCCUUUUGGCCAGUUUUCUGGUUAGGGGCAAGGCUUAGUUCCUCACUAACAUUGUGUAGCUUAAUUCUUGCUCCAUAUUUCCUCUGCUACUCUGGCCACUACAAUAAGCAGGGAUUUCUAUUGCGCUUGCUCCUUCCUUAACAAUAGUACUUCAUUUUUCCUAGUCCAUCCUUAAUGAAAAAUGGCCGUGAACUUUGGUGGGCAGGAGAGAUGAGAAACAAUUGAUUCCCUAACUCUAGUCUCAUUGGUACCAGCUUUUGGGAACAUUCAUAUUCAAGCCACAACUGGUUUUGAAACACAUUUACCAGUUUUGAUGAUUCUCAGUUCACCUUUUAUAUUAUGGCAAAUGUAUUUUUAAGAGACAAUCCCCCAAAAGUACAUAACAAGUUUGGAGAUGUUUUGGUUUUGCAGUAGCUUCUCACCUUACACUUAGAAAUCUUUUCCUUCUCACCAUCAAAACCUGCUUAAGAAAGGACUUAUUAUUUGUAACAGAAUAGUGCAGAGAAUGAAAAUAACAAUUUUAUUCUUAAGUUUUAGGAAUAAUAAAAAUUGGAAGUAAUUGGAAAAAAUUGGAUAGAAGAAAUACCCCCACCAAAAAAAGUCUAAAUUUUGACCCAAAUGGGCUUUGGCCUUUUCUAUUUUUAAAUCACUCAGAGAGGGUGGGAUAGGAGGAAGAGUGAAAGAAAAGGUCAGACCUAGUUCGAUGGGCAACCUGCCUUUGUUCUGGAUUGGUCUUAAAAGUAUUACUACCUCCAGAUCUAACUUGGGGGAUUGCAUCUUUAGUUUAAAUGCAACUCCAGUAACUGGUCACUAUUAAGAUGAGGACAAAUUCCUUUGUUCCCCCUCAUUUCUAUAUGUUUUUGAGAAACAUUUUUUGUUAAUGGCUGUCAAUUAAGCCUUGUGCUAGAUGUUAUGAAGUUGAUUAAUUAAAUCAAUGUAGUCUUAAGCUAAAGCCGAAAUUCAUUGCAAAAGAAGAGGGCUUUUUUGUUUACUGUAAGUCAUACAUAUUUCAUACAUAUUUCAAAGCAUCCAAACUUUAGUUUACAUGGCAAGCCAACAGUAACAUCUGUGAUGGAGAAGGAAAUAGAUGAAUGGCGAAGGAUAGUUGCUGAAGGGAGCAAAGUUGAAGAGGAUUUUCUGACAUGUUAAUAAUGUUUAAUAAAAAAAAUAAUGUUUAAUAUAUGA
This 22621-nucleotide small RNA is filed under the name Sus scrofa (pig). RNAcentral describes it as "Xist". The stretch from base 15444 to 15569 matches the Rfam family "X-chromosome inactivation gene exon 4". Lineage: Eukaryota; Metazoa; Chordata; Mammalia; Artiodactyla; Suidae. The record is from RNAcentral.